Molecule: non-coding RNA, 279 nt
Filed under: Necator americanus (New World hookworm)
Lineage: Eukaryota; Metazoa; Nematoda; Chromadorea; Rhabditida; Ancylostomatidae
Description: Eukaryotic small subunit ribosomal RNA
Rfam family: Eukaryotic small subunit ribosomal RNA
Source: Rfam by way of RNAcentral
UCAACCUGACGGAAGUCUAUUAGUCUACCAUGGUUAUUAUUAUGGGAGCGGAGAAUAAGGGAAAGGUUCGGCUUCCGGAAGGACCCUCAGAAACGACCACCACAUCCAAGCAAAGCAACAGACGCGUAAUUUAUCCACUCUUCAACAGAUGAGAUAGUGACUAGAAAUGAAAAGAGCAUUCCCAUGGAACGGUCAUUUCAAUGAGUUGAUCGUAAACCUUUUUCCGGGAAUCAGUUAGAGGGGGAAGCAUAGAUGCGAUAGUCGGAGCUGGUACUUUGA